Non-coding RNA from Nicotiana sylvestris (wood tobacco), 45 nucleotides. NCBI's taxonomy places the organism in Eukaryota, Viridiplantae, Streptophyta, Magnoliopsida, Solanales, Solanaceae. The record is from Rfam.
UUCAAGGCUUUGCUAAAAGCCACAAUUGGUUAGUGAAAAGAACAG